This is a regulatory RNA element of 114 nucleotides. It matches the Rfam family "TPP riboswitch aptamer (THI element)". From Rfam's summary of the family: Vitamin B(1) in its active form thiamin pyrophosphate (TPP) is an essential coenzyme that is synthesised by coupling of pyrimidine and thiazole moieties in bacteria. The previously detected thiamin-regulatory element, thi box was extended, resulting in a new, highly conserved RNA secondary structure, the THI element, which is widely distributed in eubacteria and also occurs in some archaea. The record is from Rfam.
GAAAACUGAAAGGGGUGCUGGAGAAAGUCCGGCUGAGAGUAAGCAGAAUUGCUUUAAACCCUCUAACCUGAUCUGGAUAAUGCCAGCGUAGGAAGCCUUCAGGCUAAGCCUGUU